Molecule: long non-coding RNA, 2014 nt
Organism: Myotis myotis
Lineage: Eukaryota; Metazoa; Chordata; Mammalia; Chiroptera; Vespertilionidae
Exons: 7
Source: RefSeq, a predicted model, not a curated record
GCGCCUCCCCGCUUCUGCCCUGUCUCCAGAGCAAUGCAGCGGCUCCCGGAGGAGAGCGUGGAAGCCUCCCGCCUGCUGUGCUGUGCUUGUGCUCUUUCCCCUGGCAGGUGGGCUGCUGGGCACUCAGAGUGCGAGUGGUGAGUGGCAAAGGACUGGUGAGGGGGGCGCGACGUGCUCUCACCCCGACCCUCCCAGGCACGGGCCUCCUCCGGCCGCCUCCCCGCUUCCACCCCAUCUCUGGGAGCAAUGCCCCGCCGCGCACGCACAGGCAGCCUCCUCCUUAGCGGUCGUGACUGUGACACUGUUAGGACCAAUUAGCAAUUACCUUUUUAUAUAUAGAUAGAUAUUUAUUUGUUGUGUGUCUCCCACACCCUCAAUGUCAGCUCCAAGAAGGUAGAUCUUGUUAGUUCUGUUCAAUGAUGUUUGUGUCCCAAGUGCCUGGAGCGGUACCAAGCACACAGUAUUAUAAUGCCACACUAACCUAAACAUUCUGUGUCUUUGUUAUGGGUGGGGCCACAACAUUAGUAACAACGAAACAGAAUUUCCGGAGGAUGAGGCCCAGAAAUCAGGAUUUUAAAAAGAUUCCCAGGUGAUUCUAAUGUGCAGCCAAGGUUGAGAACCACUGCUCUCGACUCUAGUCUAGAGGCAAAGAGGGCGUCAUGGCUCCACCUCCCCACAAGGGGGCACCCUGAAGCAAGAGCCUAGGCUGCAUUUACUGACACUUCAUGAAGAGAGGAGCCAGGCUUACCAAGAAUUGCUUUUUGUAAGAAUCUCUUUUCUUCUUUUCAGUGCCCACGAGCAGGUCAUGUUGGGACACUGGUGGCGAGCAGGGCUGUCUCUGAAUGCCUUCCUCAGGGCAGCGUAGAUGCCAGGCAUGCCCCGCCCUGUGGCCGAGCCUGCCCCAGGUCACCGGCUGUUCUUAGCCCAUCAGGAUACUUAAUCUGUGGCACAGAAUCUAAUGAAGAGUUUGGCCCCACCUCCAGAAGAAGGAGGGGAUGUGGAAGAUGUAAGCGGAGGCUGACAUGCAGACCCAGCAUAGAAGUGGGACUGGACCAGGGCGUCCACACCGUAUGGAGAUGUCAAGAGGCUGAGUGCAGGCUGAUGACGGCUUUACAAAUCCGCACCUCUCCUUGGGCGGGCAGCCUCUCUCCUACUAGCCUUGCAGAAGGAUGACUUCAUGCUUCAGCAGGUCUGCAUCCUGUGUUUACAGACAUUUUAUGGACAAGCAUAAGGCUCUGCUUCUUGGAAAACACACGGAGGCCAGGUGAGCCUGGAGUGCUCCAGGAGGAACGCACACCUCUGGCCUCGUGGGAGCGGCUAUCGCAACGUGCAGCGGGCGGGGUGGGACACACACGCUUCCCCACGUGGCGGCGGGAUCCACGGCCCGCAGACUGGGAAGAGGUUCGCCUUGCGGUUGGAGUACCCGGUGUGAGGGGGGAGCAGCGGGCUAUGAUGCGCUGAGCUCAGAGAGGCUGCUUUGCAAAGCCUUGGCCUCAGGAGGAGGUUAAAAUGCAGCGGUGACGUCAGCAGAGCAGAGGAAGGCACGGUCCGCAUCUGGGUGUUCAGCCUGGGCUGCCUCUCCGAAGCGGCCAUCGAACGUGGAGAGUUGCAGCCGGUUUGCCCUCUUAUCAUUCCAGCAAAAUUGCUUUUCUUAAGAUCAUCAAUGACCUCCAUAUUGUUAAAUCCAAUGAUCAUGUUCAUCUUACCUGACCCAUCAGCAAGAUUCAACAGUUGAUCACUCCCCUUCCUCCUUGAAACACUUUCCCCACCUGACUUCCAGAACUGCAGCCAUCAAUAGUACUGAUAUUCUUCUUACCUCAUUAACUCCACUGAGCAUAGCUGAACAAAGUGUACCUGCACAGCACACCAACACACCCAAGAGAUCCAUCCAUUUGUGAUCUGAAAAAUGCAAUAGACAGAAGAGCAGAUGAGAACCCACAGAACAAAACCUGAAACUGGAAAGUGGUAAUCACUUCCAUAAAGAAGAAACUCAGUGUGUGUGUGUGGGGGGGGG